CUAGUUUUAUUGAAGGAGGUUCUAGAACCAAAAAUACAUAAGAACUUUUCAAAUGUGCAUUAUAAUUCCUGAAUUUUUUGGGUGAUCAGCAUUGUGGUUAGCCUUCUCUCUCUCCAGGUCUUUUCUCUCUUUUUUGCAGCCUGGUUUGGCUCUUACUGUAUGCUGCCUGUAUACGUAGGGUGCACCCCCUGUUUUUGGUGUUUUCUUAAUUCAUUCUGCCUUUGUCUAUAAAAAAAAAUAAUAAUAAUUCCUGAUUUGUUCAAAGAAUAGCCAACCACACCAGACAUUUGCUUUGUAAAGUGGUGUUUUUAAAGUUUUGUACAGUUUCAUGCACCUCUUCUAGCUGAGUGGUCAGCUAGACAGCAACUGCAAUUGUGGAGUGAGAGUUACUAGUUAACCCGUUCCAUCACAGUUGCUGACUCUCCCUCCACAAUGAUUAGUGAGGACUGAAUGAAGGCCUCUGUAAUCUUCCAGUGGAUUGCCUGGAAAAAUUUUCAAAGCAAGGGUUUCCUUCUUUAGCUGAUGUAGAUAAGUUGUCCUGUGUGAUCCUUACAAAUAUCUCC
Molecule: long non-coding RNA, 563 nt
Filed under: Vitis vinifera (wine grape)
Lineage: Eukaryota; Viridiplantae; Streptophyta; Magnoliopsida; Vitales; Vitaceae
Description: long non-coding RNA (VVIN_LNC000017)
Source: RNAcentral